This 1085-nucleotide long non-coding RNA is filed under the name Marmota monax (woodchuck). The record is from RNAcentral. Lineage: Eukaryota; Metazoa; Chordata; Mammalia; Rodentia; Sciuridae.
CCUCUGCCAUUGAAUUGCAGGCUUCCACUGUCCGGAAGAAUCACAGGCUUUCUUUCAGGCUCCAAAGCGACCCACUAACAAAGCAUGGGGGCUGGGAGAUGUGUCUUUGAUCUCUGUCUCAUUCAUUCUUCCCAAAAUCACAGACCCAGGACCUCCCGCCAAUUUCUGAUCUUUUGUCCCAAGUCAAUUCAUGAACAGUCAUAAAUUGCUUUGAAGAUGAAAGCACCACAUCAGUGCACCAGGAUACCACUAUUAUUUUAAUAAGUGAAGCCUGCACAUGUCUUUUUGACGUAUGAACUGUUCAAAAUAUUUGUCUUGUUUUUCAGUUCAGCUGCAUGAGAAAAGGACUUGUGUUGUCUCCCGUGUAUACUCCUCCAUAUACCACUCUGCAGAAUGAGCACUGUUUUCAUAAAAAUGUUUGCCUUUUCUCCAACAAAAGAAAUUGAUGUUUCUCUUGGGACUUCAUCUCUUUUAGCCAAAGCUUGAGUAAUUAUUUUUAGAGAUAUGUACUUUUGUACUUUUAAAAUGUCUAAUUUAUUGCAAUGCUUACAAAUGCCAAUAAAAUGUACUAUCAUAUUCAAAAGGCCAACAAAGGUCAAUGCACAUUGAAAAAAUGAGAAGAAAUAUAUAUGUGAACAGAAUAAUGGAUUCAUAAGCAAACAUAAGAAUGGAUUCUACUUGCACAGGAGGAAGAGAAUAGAGAAUUUUAUUCUUUACAUCUACCACUAAUAGCUAUUCUACACUCAUGCCUUUUAAGGAAAUUUCUCCGGGGAACAUAUUUUACCAUGUCAUGGCACAUGACUUUGACCACCUCUCACGAAUGCUUCUGUAAACUUAACCAACAUCUAACAUAUUUUCAUGGACUCAGCUUCAUUGGCGGUCCCCCGUGAGCUGUCAGGGCUGGCCUGCUAUGCUGAUAUCUGGCACUGGGCAGAGAAUAAGGAAGGCUGCUGGAGUAGGUUGAUGAGGAGCCACUGCCAGGCGCUCAGAAAUGCAGUCAGUUCAUAAACUCUGGACCUUGGACUAGCACCUAGGAAUGUCCCUCACAUCUGCCACAGGCUAUACGUUUUGUCACUUGGUCUCCA